UACGGGGGGGGCAAGCGUUGUUCGGAAUUACUGGGCGUAAAGGGCUCGUAGGCGGCCAACUAAGUCAGACGUGAAAUCCCUCAGCUUAACUGGGGAACUGCGUCUGAUACUGGAUGGCUUGGAUUCGGGAGAGGAAUGCGGAAUUCCAGGUGUAGCGGUGAAAUGCGUAGAUAUCUGGAGGAACACCGGUGGCGAAGGCGGCAUUCUGGACCGAUAUUGACGCUGAGGAGCGAAAGCUAGGGGAGCAAACGGG
RNAcentral lists this ribosomal RNA (253 nucleotides) under uncultured bacterium. Its description in RNAcentral is "partial 16S ribosomal RNA". It matches the Rfam family "Bacterial small subunit ribosomal RNA", at positions 524 to 776 of the family's 1533-position model. The record is from RNAcentral.